This 903-nucleotide ribosomal RNA is filed under the name uncultured Bacillota bacterium. RNAcentral describes it as "bacterial SSU rRNA". It matches the Rfam family "Bacterial small subunit ribosomal RNA", at positions 1 to 916 of the family's 1533-position model. Lineage: Bacteria; Bacillati; Bacillota. The record is from RNAcentral.
GGAUCCAGACUUUGAUCAUGGCUCAGGACGAACGCUGGCGGCGCGCCUAACACAUGCAAGUCGAACGGAGCUGAGAGGAGCUUGCUUUUCUUAGCUUAGUGGCGAACGGGUGAGUAACGCGUGAGUAACCUGCCCUGGAGUGGGGGACAACAGUUGGAAACGACUGCUAAUACCGCAUAAGCCCACGGAUCCGCAUGGAUCUGCGGGAAAAGGAUUUAUUCGCUUCAGGAUGGACUCGCGUCCAAUUAGCUAGUUGGUGAGGUAACGGCCCACCAAGGCGACGAUUGGUAGCCGGACUGAGAGGUUGAACGGCCACAUUGGGACUGAGACACGGCCCAGACUCCUACGGGAGGCAGCAGUGGGGGAUAUUGCACAAUGGGGGAAACCCUGAUGCAGCGACGCCGCGUGGAGGAAGAAGGUUUUCGGAUUGUAAACUCCUGUCGUUAGGGACGAUAAUGACGGUACCUAACAAGAAAGCACCGGCUAACUACGUGCCAGCAGCCGCGGUAAAACGUAGGGUGCAAGCGUUGUCCGGAAUUACUGGGUGUAAAGGGAGCGCAGGCGGACCGGCAAGUUGGAAGUGAAAACUAUGGGCUCAACCCAUAAAUUGCUUUCAAAACUGCUGGCCUUGAGUAGUGCAGAGGUAGGUGGAAUUCCCGGUGUAGCGGUGGAAUGCGUAGAUAUCGGGAGGAACACCAGUGGCGAAGGCGACCUACUGGGCACCAACUGACGCUGAGGCUCGAAAGCAUGGGUAGCAAACAGGAUUAGAUACCCUGGUAGUCCAUGCCGUAAACGAUGAUUACUAGGUGUUGGAGGAUUGACCCCUUCAGUGCCGCAGUUAACACAAUAAGUAAUCCACCUGGGGAGUACGACCGCAAGGUUGCAACUCAAAGGAAUUGACGG